UAAGCACCUCGCUAGGCGAGGCUCCUGCAUGAACACAGGCCACUGAUCUGACGACGUCGACAGACGCCCAAGGUUAGGACAGGUAUUCCCGGAUUAAGGGUCUAUCCAAAGUGGCUUCUCGAUCCCCUCGAGACACGUCGUGCAGUGCCGAAGCUCUGACGAGAGGGGUGCCCG
Molecule: small RNA, 174 nt
Filed under: Rhodococcus sp. (in: high G+C Gram-positive bacteria)
Lineage: Bacteria; Bacillati; Actinomycetota; Actinomycetes; Mycobacteriales; Nocardiaceae
Description: Rhodococcus sp. Magnesium sequence
Rfam family: M-box riboswitch aptamer (ykoK leader)
About the family: M-box riboswitch, also know as ykoK leader is described as a metaloregulatory RNA that sense divalent metals and function as a genetic control element of genes related to divalent metal transport in bacteria. It was first reported upstream of the B.subtilis ykoK gene and genes with related functions in other bacteria.
Source: RNAcentral